CCCGGCGGGCGGAGCCCGGCGCCGCGGCCAGGAUUUCCCACCUCGCUCCCGCGACUCCGCUGCGGGGGUACUUAACCGAAACUAGCAAUCCCAGGCGGUACAAGGCCCUCCAUCGUAGGCAAAGCACUACCUGAAUGUAGAUUUGGGCCAUACGUUGGAAAAUAAGACAUGAGAGUAUGCUCCGAUCAACUUUUACUGUUCACUGGACAACUAUUUUGGGAAUUUGCAGACCUAUAAAGCCCAUCUAUAAAUCUCAAGCAUGUCCACUUUCAGAGAAGAGAAAUGCUGACAACCAUUUAGUCUCUGAGGACAACACUUUUAAAGUUAUACAGGACUCCAUCAUAGGACUGGAGAGAGAUUGGAUGUCAGAGUGAUUGAUGUGCUCCUACUGGAAGAAGGCAAACAUCCAUAUGUGAACUGCCUGUGGGGUUUCCAAGGAAAGGAACGGCAGGCAGCCUCUAUGAGCUUAAAGAAGAUAACUGGGACUUUAGUCCUAUAACCUCAAGGAACAGUAUUCUGUGAACCAUCUGAGAAGCUUGGAAGAGGACCCCAAACUCCAAAUAAGAAGCUCAGUGUGUCUGACACCUUGACUGCAGGCUUGGGAGGUCCUGAGCAGAAGAUCCAGUUCAACAGUGCCUGGACUCCUGAUCCACAAAAACUGAUAACAAAUAUUUAUUGUUUUAAGAUGCUAAGUUUGUAGUCAUUUUUUAUACAGCAACAGAAAACUAAACACACACAUAAACAGUUAUAAGUGCUCACUGUAUAUGAGGCUUUUCAUUAAUAAUCUAUAUUUUAUAAUAGAAUUAGAAUAUAGAUCUGUGAAGCUGAAGACACUCAAUCCUUGCUAGAUUUAAAUCAGGAAAAUCAGCUGAGAAUCAUUCCUUGAUAGAACCUGGAAAACAAGACCCUAUGAGAGACCCUGGGAAUUACAUUAAAUUCACUGUGGUUCCCAGUGUCACUGAAGAGGUUUUCCUUUCAUAGUCAGGUAGUCACCAUACUGUUAAGCAUUUGAACACAUGGGCAACUUCCAGAAUAGUUAUGACAUUGAUAUACCAAUCUCCAAAAUUCCUAGAAUACCAUGUUUUCAUGGUUGACCUUCAAAUCAGUCAGUUCUUUGUAACAUUGAGCCAUAAAGAUAGGGCAAAUACUUAAUGUUUUACAUAUAUUCAGAGAUUGACCCUCAAAAUACAGCCCAGAGAAACUCAAAAGAAUUAACUCUAUUUCUUCAAAUUGUGUGACGCCACCAAGGCCAGAUGACUUCAGCAUUGGGAAGGCAAUAUCCAGCUGUCAUCUUCUUGAUCCUCAUAUGCUACUACUAGCAUCUAGCAUUUACUGAGCAGAUAGUUUUAUUGUCCAGUUUUUAAAGAUAAGAAAAUUGAGGUAUUAGGAAAGUUAAGUUGGUUGCCUAGGGAAACACGAAGAUAUAGCCCAGAUUCACUCCCAGGCAGGCAGAUGCCAGUGUCUGCUCUCUUUACCACCGAAAUAUCCUGCUACAUGUACAAUUUCAAUAAAUAUCUGGACUUACUGGAACAAAACAAAUCAACAACAUUCUUAUUUUCUUUCUUCAGUUUAGAUUAAAUAAUUUAAAUGUCUUCUUAAGAAGCUACAGUUUUUUGAGGCACAGAGGGAUAGGAGGGUAGGUCCUACCAGUUGAGUCACUCAGCCCUAUAGUUGUGAAAAUCCUUAAUUUUAAGAAGCAGCAGUAAAGUCUCUACUUCUCAAGCUUGCCAUUAGAUGGUUUUAAAUAAUUGACAGGCUCUGCUCAAGUUCUUCUGAUUUCUCCAUAUCCUGGAAAUGGUUAAAGGCAUAAGCAGGAAGCCAUUCCCUUUUGAUGAGCUGCUAUGACAUCAUGCAGUAAGUUUACUGAAGAGAGAUUCCUGAUGAAAGAUGCAAGAGAAACUAGAUACAUUAAGCAGUCGUUUCUUUAUAUGAAUCAAUGGGACACCUUUGCUUUCCUUUACUCUAAGUGACCUAUAUGCAGAAAAUGAACUCACUUUUCCUAUGUUUAGAUCAAGUUUUCAAGUUACUUCCUGGCAAACAACCCUAACAAGAUCAUGUAUGAUAGUUAAUUGGCCAUAAUCUCUGCCUUUUCUUUUUUUCUGGCUAAAUAACCAGGUGGACCACACAUUUGGGUCAGGGGAGUCACAUUAGGACUCUUUUAGUAGAGAGAAUGCCAGAUGUAGAUAUCACGCUUAUUGUCUCAACAACAUGACACUUAAUAGCACUUCUACGCCACUUUAAUCAACUAGAGUCAAUUCCAC
Molecule: long non-coding RNA, 2261 nt
Filed under: Homo sapiens (human)
Lineage: Eukaryota; Metazoa; Chordata; Mammalia; Primates; Hominidae
Description: HSALNT0335951
Source: RNAcentral